AGAGACGGAAAUCUGUGAUACGAGUGGAAUCAGUAUUAUUAGGUACCUCUAUCUUUGUUAAUUUUGUCUUAAGUUCUGCUCUCUGUCUUGGGUUUUUCUUCAUAUUCCGGAAGAAACCUGUAAGACCUAGUACCGAUAUUGUUUUGGACUCGAAUUUGCGCUCUUUUAGCUAUGAAGAGCUACGAGAAGCUACAAAUGGAUUCAAGGAAGAAUUAGGAAAGGGUGCUUUUGGAGUGGUUUUCAAAGGGGUGAUGCAAAUUGGUUCUGGUGUCGAAGUGGCGGUGAAGAAGCUAAACUGUGUUAUGGCAGAUGUCGAGAAGGAGUUUAACACAGAAGUGAAUGUAAUUGGUCACACGCAUCACAAGAAUCUGGUUCGUCUAUUUGGAUAUUGUGACGAGGGGCAGCAGAGAUUACUAGUUUAUGAGUUAUUGAGCAAUGGCACAUUGGCAAGCUUUCUUUUUUCUGAUAUCAAACCAAGUUGGAGACAGCGAAUUGAAAUCGUUUAUGGCGUUGCGAAGGGGCUUUUGUACUUGCAUGAAGAGUGCAGCACGCAGAUUAUCCAUUGUGACAUAAAGCCGCAGAACAUACUUCUCGAUGAGUAUUACACCGCUCGGAUCUCUGAUUUUGAAUUGGCAAAACUUUUGAUGAUGAAUCAGAGCCAGACUCAUACCGCCAUCCGAGGAACAAAAGGUUAUGUUGCACCUGAGUGGUUCAGGAACUUGCCAAUCACUACCAAAGUUGAUGUAUACAGCUUUGGUAUUGUGCUGCUGGAGAUCAUUUGUUGUAGGAGAAGCGUUGACAUGGAAGGUAACUGUGAAGAGAAAGCAAUUUUAACGUACUGGGUUUAUGAUUGCUACAUUGAAGGAGUACUAGAUGAUGUUGUAGAUCAUGAAGUCGAGGCCUUGGGUGAUCGAACGACACUGGAAAAGUUUGUGAUGGUUGCGAUUUGGUGUAUUCAGGAAGAUCCGUCUCUUAGGCCUACUAUGAGGAAGGUUGUGCAGAUGCUUGAAGGAGUUGCCGAAGUGCCUGUUCCACCAUGUCCAUCCCCAUAUACCAGAUAAGGUUGAACCACCGUUGUAUAUAUUGUCACAGUAGUAGCUAGCUUGUUUCCUUCUUAUCAAUCUUUUUUUAGUUUAACAAUUUGUGGCUUUGUAAUGUGAUGAUUUGUUACGAAAACAUUUUCAUUUGCUUAAUCUAUUGCUGCUGAUGAAGUUUGUGGUUUAUCUUGUACGGAUUGGAAUUAUCGCUGGCCCCGCUACUCCCUACUGUUCUUUGUAGAGAGGGUGGCGGCGAAUUAUGAUCCUUUUUAUCGGCAAAUACUAGUUCAGUAUAGUUUUCAGCCACGCUACAAACUUCAUUCACAUUGGAAAGAGUAGCAGAUUCUGAAUUCAAAAUGAACACCGCUGCAGUCUCAUUACACGAAAUUGCAGCUGGAUAUUACUCCUAAUUCCUUCCAUUCAUCGUUCCCCUCAGACGGGUUUUCUUAUAUCUUCACUCUGAUUUGGUUUUGUUGCUACCAGUUUGCUUCUACUCUACGCAAGCAGAUAAACCUUGCUUCAUUUAAAUCCUCCUAAAAAGAACAGAUGAAUUGCCCUUAUUUCAACACUGCUUCUAUAAAUUGCCCUUUGUACUAGUUUUAUAGAGACAGCCCAGCGGCCCACUACUAAUUACCAUCAAUACUGACCUUAACUUAACCACAUGUGCAAUUCAAUAGGUGUGGUUUAUACAAAAUUAAGCAAUUAGUAGUCGAACUUUUCUAUAUAAGAGGAUUUAAACUUUAUCAAGUUUCCGAUGUGGCCAUGUGGGACAUGCUUCAACAUACUUAAUUGGUAUAAACAGAAAAUACACUUCUUUGUGUGUUUUGGACAAAAGGCUGGUUUCUCCAUAAUCUAGACAUCUUGGAGUCCCAAGUACAAAUCGUGCAGUCAGCUGCUUUGAAGUGGAAUAGUAUUUUUCCUGUUUGCGGGGUGACUUCCAUUGUGAAAAGUCAGAACCGAGUUAUAGUGUCGAAGAAGAAGAUUUGAAGGCUCUCCCAAUUUUCCCAUAAAGUAUGCGACCCCUGUCCUUGAAGAAGACAUCUAAGAUCUGCCAAAACGUACUUCUCUGAAAUUUUCUAGAUCAAGAAAAACCUCGAAAACAUGCCUACAACCUGACUGAUGCGCUAUCUAGUCAAAGUAGGAUUUCUACAGUACUCUUUUUAUUUGGAUUUCCUUUUAUGUUUAAGGUUUUGUUUUGCAUGGGAUAGUUGUCUAAAUCCUGAAACUGAAAUUUAAAUAAGACCGGCGAAAGGACAUACAAGAGAGAAGUCGAAGACGGGAGAGUAAUUGGGAGUUUUGGAAGUGCUGGUUGCUUAUAUCUAAGUAAUAAAGGAUAUGUAUGAUAAAGUAAGGAAGUAGUAAGAACUCAUGAAUGACAAAUCGAAAGCUUUCCCAUAAUCAUAGAGUUACACCAGGGCUGAGCUUUAAGAUCUUACCUUUUUGCAUUAGUAAUGGACGAGUUAACAAGAUACAUUCAAGAUGAUAUAUCUUGGUGUAUGCUUUUAGUAGAUGAUAUAGUCCUGAAAGAUGAAAUGCAAGAAGAAAUUGCGAUGGGAUGUGUUGGAAUCUAAAGGUCUCCACCUAAGUAGGUCAAAGAAAGAGUAUAUGAAGUGUAAGUUCAUGGGAAUGGGGAUUCAAAUGAGUAGGGGCGAGGAUUGGAGAUCAGAAAGUUCAAAGGCUAAGUGCUUAGGAUGAGUGCUUUCAUUAUCUUGGAUUUAUCUUGCAAAAAAACAAAGAAUUGGAUAAAGAUCUCAACCACAGAAUACAAGUUGAACGGAUGAAGUGGAAAAGUACAUCGGGUGUGUCGUGCAAUAGUCAUAUGCCGCCAAAGUUCAAGGAAAUUUUUUAUAGAACGGCAAUAAGGUCAACAAUGUUUUAGGGCACGAAAUGUUGGGUGGUCAAAAAAUAACAUGUGCAAAAAAUAAUAUCCGCAGAGAUGAGAAUGUUUCAAUAGAUAUGUGACCACAUGGGAAAUGAUAAGAUUAAGAAGGAGAAUAUCUGAGGUAAAGUAGCAGUGGCUGCAAUUAAAUUUUAGUAUGAAAGAAAAUCAGUUAAGGUGGUUAGGGCACGUAAACCAAAGACCUACUGACACGCCCUGAUCCCGAUAUUCUACGAACACUAGGAUAGGCACGUGCUGGCUAACACCCGAGGGUGACGAAAGCCAUUUAUUGAAUGCAAAUGCUGAGGAUAAGGAAUAAAUAAGACUUAUAAAUAUAAAUAUAAUGAAUAUGCAUUUAAGGAACGUGUUCAGAGCAUAUAACUAACUAGAAUACUAAAAGAAAUAAUAUAAAAUUGAAUGAAUAAAAGAAUGGGUCCUACACCGAGAAGACUCGAAGAUGCCGAUGUGGAAAUGCGUUGACGCCAGGAUUGUAUGCCUCAAUUCUAAGUCCUGAAAGGGGCGCAAAACAAACAUGAGUGAACCAAGUUGAUAUAUAUAUAUAUAUAUAUAUAUAUAUAUAUAGUAAAACAGUUAUCAACAUACUAACCCCCAAGUUAUAUGAAAACACAUAUAGCAUGAUAAAUAAAAUAGGUUUUCUGAAACCUAGCAUGCCGUGCAAUGUCUCAAAUCAAAACUCAUAUAUAUCAUAAUUAGUGAAUGUCUCUCCAGGCCCCAUGCCAGCUCCCCGUCUUUGUGCCAAUUGCCAGACGAAAAUCACCCCUAGGCCCCGUGCCAGCUCCUCGUCCCUGUGCUAAUAGCCAGAGGAAAACCAUAUUCAAGCCCUAUGCCAACACCGUAACGGUCACCCGAGACGGAAUCUAUCCUUCACCCCGUAGCAGAAUAGGGACCACUAGGUAAGUACAAAAUCAUUGAACAUACAUAUAUUUGAAAAGCAACUUCAUAGCAUAAUGUCAUCUAUCAUCUAUAUGAUAAAGAGGUGCUCUAAACAUGUUCUAAAUAGUAUAUCGCUAUCCAUAAGAUAUUCUAUAAAGAACACAGGUUAUAGGAAAAAUAGUAGUAAUUCAAUCUAGCCUCAGUAAGCAUGUUAUCCCAAAGCGUUUCAUAGAACAUAAUUGUUAAAUCAUGCUUUUUCAUGUAUGCAUUUCUAUUAUCAAAACAUGCAUUUUAGAAGGGUCCACUCACAGAUACUUAGCCACUGAAGAACCACGCAAACUAGCGAACACGGAAACACCAUAAUAAUUGCCUCUAAGCACAUAAAUGGUCUAAUUAAUAAAACUCUAUUACAACAACUGAAUUUGGGAAAACAAACAUCGAAAAUAGAUUCAGGACGUCAAAUUACCCUAAGAAGGGUCCUGGGUAAAUUUCGUAUAAGUCAAUAGAAAGAUUAUUAUCUGACAUAAUAUUCCCUAAUGGAAUAUUUCCUAACAGAAUAUUCCCCAUAAAUGGGCCGGUUAGGGUUUAGGUUUUGAAAAAUUAAAGGGUUUAGUGGUUAAGGCCCUAGGUUAAAAGGGUUUGGGUUAGGCUUUUAAAAGGGUUAGGCUUUAAGGGUUUCUAAUUUAAAAAGGGUUUUAGGGCAAGGUUAGUGACGGGCUUGGGCCCAGGUGCAUGGCCUAAGGGCCUUUGGGUUCGAGAAAACAAUAAAAAAUGAAUUAUGAGGAUGAAAUGGGAAAGUUUUAGAGUGGUUUCAAAGCUCACUUAUGCCGGGGUUCGUCGAAGCACACUUUGAACAGUGACUAUGUCACUGUUCCGUGAAAGGGGAAGGAUGAGGACAAUCAUGGUGGUCCAGGGUCACGAUGGGGAGGUCCAUGUGGUUGAUAGUGCUCGCCAGAAGGACUGGGUGCGUGCGUGUGUGUGUGUGUAAGGUGCUUGGGGGAGGAGGUUAUAGAGAGAAUUUAGAGGGAGAGAUAAGGGAAAGUGAGGGAAAAGAUAAAACUGAGAGCAGUUCCACCAGGGAACUGAUAGGCCAGAACCCACCCAAAAAACUAGCCCGACACCCAGGGUAUCCACUCCAACCUAGCAUUUUGACCAGCACCCAGCCCAAGCUGGUCUCCAAGCCAACCCAAAAUCGACAGAGGUGUGGGUCGGCCCGUAUAACUCCAACGUGGAGUCGAAGGCAAGGGUGGAGUCUAAGGCAAGGGUGGAGCCGAAACCGAAGGCAUGAGCUGCUAGAAUCUCACGUAUGGUGUCGUCGUUGUCGUCAUCCAUGUCCUUGAUCCUGAACCAGUCGUAAUACACUCUGCAUCUCAAGCUCUAGAGGCUGUGCCGCUUCACUCUGAGGUUCCUUAAUUGGGGACUGGAGAAGUCCAGUUUCCAAUGCUACCAUCGCCAGAAGUUGCAGCCUCAGCCACAAAGAAGGAAUCUUGGCCGCAGUAUCUCCAGAAACUUCUCGAAUUCCAACACCAAUGUUUCUCUCUCCGGCCAGUCUGGUGGCCCCAACCUCCGCCACUUCGUCACUCAAGCUACUUUCAUCGGUGCUGAAGCCUAGCCUUAGUGAGUCCACAGUUCACGCCCACACACAGUGUCUUUCAAUGUUUUUGUUAAUUUUUUAGGAAUUUAUGCAAUGAUUCGAAUUGGGUUGUCUUGGAAAGAGGAUGGUGGUGGUGAUGAUGAUGAAGGUGGCGGUGGGAUCUUACAUGUGCUAUGGUCUGCUUCAUUGGAGGAGCAUUUUUGGGGAGUUCAGAAACGGUAAAGUUACAAAUUAAAAAUCAAAUUAUUAAUUUUUAUUAUUUUAUAAUAAAAAUUAAUAAUAUUUUAAUAAAAUUGACUAGGCUAUUUAAUUUUAGGGGUGGAGAUGCAUUUGGUCUAUUACUGUUCAUUGGGGUCUAUCAUUGUUCACUGAAUGGAUAAAUGCGUUGGGUGCUAGCGCAUUUGUGUUAGGGGUGGAACUGCUCUGAGAGAGAAGAGAGAGAGAGAUCAGGGGACACAAAUCAGGGGGUGGGUCCCUUGGGCUCAUCAAUCAAGGCCCUAAAAAUAAUUUUUAAAUAAAAAUCCAAAACUAUCUUUAAAAUCGGGGGUGGGGUGUAACACCUACACAUGCUUCGGUUAGAAGAUGCGAGUAUGAGACAGAGACUCGAGUAAAAAGGGAUAGAAGAAGAUCUAUGAAGACUUGAAAAUAGACUUUAAGAAAAUAUAUGGAAUACCUGGUGCAAAACAGAGACUGUUCUAGGAUUCAUACAACCCACCCUAUUUAAUGGGAUAAGGGUUGGUUGUUGUUGUUGUGUGGAAGAGUGCGGCAAAGUCAUUCAAUUUUUGUUAUUUUUCUCUUCUGCUUUUGCUUAUGACAAUUAUAAUGACUAUGAGUAACUAAGCUCUUUUUGCUAGGGCAUGAUGCAACCCUAGUAUUACAAUCUAUUGAUCAUCUCUGCGAUGUUGGAUUCUUACUAAUAGUGAGCAAUUCUAGGUUAAUUAAGAGUUAAAUUCUAGGUUGAAAUUUUGUAUGAAAGCACUAAAUUAGAUAUAGAGUAUGUUUUUGGAAACAUCUUUGUACAAAAUUCUCAACGCAAGAAGAUUAAUGACUGGUGAACUAGGUGAAUCUGAUAAUUCUUCGGAAUAUUGAAAAGAAAUUCUUCAGAUUAUCGAAAAUUAAGCGAUUUUUUUUCCUAAAACCCUUCAAAGCAUCAAUUAGCUCCUCAAAGAACAGCCUACCCACUAUUAGUAUUAUUUUUAGCCUUCCUUUUUAGGAUAUUCUCAAAAUGCAACAGCCAAAGAGAAAGCCAUGUCGUUGGGCAAUAAAAUAGAAGCAUGGAAAGUUGGAAACAAAGGUCACAUAUGAUAUCUUAUUCAACGGAUAAACUUUGUCAAGAAAACGCAUUUUAUUGAUAUUUAAGUAAGCCGUUUCCCAACGUAUCAUUUCUGUUCUAAUAACUUGUGCAGAUUGUUUUAUUGGUAUAGGAAACUGUAUCUGUUAUGUACUUUGCUUAGUCUUGAGGAGGAAGUAUAUUGAUGCUGGCUUGCUUUGUACUUCAUCCCGUUCACAUAUUAAAAUACCAUCUAACCGUUUUCAUUCCAUGGAAAUGAUUUUGCCGAUGCAAUACGCAUAAUAUCAUACUAGUUAGUGUCAUUGCUAGUAAUAAUGAUGCAUAAAGGCGGUCCGCCUCUUCUCCUACUAGAGUUUUGCUCUUGCUUUAUUAUGUAUCAUCUACUUGAAACUUAUUUAAGAAGUAAAUACUUUAGCUUUUUGUAAUCUCAACGGCCGCGAGAUAUGAAAUUGCAAGAAAAUUAGCUAAGUUUUAUUGUUAUUAGUAGGUUCUGUUUUGUCAAAUGCUGUUUCUUAUGGGAUUCUUAUAUUUAUUAACAUGGAAAAGCAGAUGAACAUGCACUGAGAAGCAAGAAAGUACACCCGGAGGAAGUCACCGGCAGAAGGAUUCGCAGGAGAAUAGACAACAAGGAUGUCAAUAUGGGAAGAUCUAACUGCGCACGUAAUGAGAUAACUCAGGUCGGACAUGCACGUGUACGCGCCUCAGGUGUGGCAAGGGCUAGGGGCAUGCACGGCAUUGUGCACAACCUAAUGCCUUCUCGUCCCAAAUUUGAAGAGGAGCUCAUUAAAAACGUUGAUGGUGAAGCAAAGAAGGCACAAAGGAAAAGGUUCAGGCUUCUAAGCGAAUUCUAUGGUGCUUAGAAAAGCUUGAGGCAGUGAGGUACCUCAUUUGGACUAGAGCAAUGGUUUCUGAGUUGCAUGUUUUUCCGUUUCCUAGUGUCGUCGUUUUUGUCCAAGUUUUUUAAGGAAGUUUGGGUUGUUGGACUAAAACAAUGCUUUUCGUGGUUGCACGUUUCGGUUUUGCAGUGUUAAAAUUUGGUUAAAAUUUGGACAUGAAUUUGAUACUAUGAUUCUAUGAACGUGCGUUCAAUCCCGAGUGACCUCCACAUGACUUGGAGCUUAGCAUCGAUCGAAUUCGGAUCGAGCUGAGGUGGGCUUUACACACACCAGGGUCCAGAUUCAUCAUCUAAUGAGCCCAUGAGUCCAUUUGGUCGCGGUAGGCAAUAUCCAAGCGCCUCGUCUGUCAGGUCCAUCUUAGGCAAAUGAAAUGGCUGGCCUGACCAGGGAUCCAAUUUGGUACGAAAUGGCUGACCCGACCUGGUGAGAUGAACCACACCUCAAUGGGCUUCAAAUGGUCGAACCAUACCUCAAACCCGAAAUCAGAUCUUUCCGAAUCUCACAAUCCGGAGUCGAUGGAUCACUGUUCAAGAGAGGGGAGAGAGAGAUUCGGACCCUUUGUGUGAGGUGGGCAAAAAAAAAAAGGCUAAUAAGAACUAUAUGAUUUAAAAUGAGAAUCCGAAUCUUUGCGUCCGUCGAUGCUGGACUGCGAGAUUCAACUCGCCCAUCCUUUUGGGCACAGGGACCGGAGAACCAAUCCCAGAGGAUCUCGAUUCCUCAAACCUGUGAUUAUCCCAGCUUGGCCUCGGGUGUUUUACCCCAACGGCGUAUAUGUUACAUUAAAGACUUUAGUUCGUACAUAGUUUUUCGUGAAUACAUAAAUGGAGAGAAGAUAUUUUUGCAUUUUUCAGAAGUCUCUAUCACCCUAAGACCUAGUCCUCUUUGUUUAAUCAUGGAGGUCUGUUUUCCUAUCUUUUCCACAGUUGUGUCCAUACUCCUUGAGAAAUAUUUUAUUGUGACGGAAAUAUGACACGUGUUUUUAUGUAAGGAGUGGAAAAUUUUAUUUUUUAAGUUAUUAACAUUUUUACAUAUAUAUUCUAUCAUUUGUAUAAUAACACAUAAUAUACCAGCUCGUGUACCGAUCAAACUAAAAAAUCUCUCAUACUCCUGCCCCGCUGUAUCCGUCCUCAAUCUCCAUUAACUUUUCACAUUUUCUUUGUCAGCCCCAUUGUUGAAUUUUGACUGGUGGACUUGAAUGGCCGGCACAUGCUUGAGUCAUGGUCGUAUUUAAUAAAAGUCUUUUUGGUUUGGAACAUUCAUAUAUAUUAUUAUAUAUUAUAUAAUUGAACCUAAAAUCUCAAAGUCAUAAGUACUUUACCGGUUUGGAACAUUCAUAAAUGCUCAUAAAAUAGACGAGGGACGAGAAAAAGAUGAAAAGAUAUUUGAGAGAGACAAGUCAGCGGAUCAUUACUAAUAAUCACAUCAAUAUUGGCUCAACUUGCAACAGUACAAAGAGUUGAGAGAGACAAUGAGUUCUAUCAUAGAAACUCUCAGUGUCAUUAUGUAUAGAACUAUUCAUUAUAUUAUUUUCUCAAAGUGAAAUUCUUGUAUUUUGAACAACGAUUAAACUAAUUUGACCAUGAUAUGUGUAGGUUCGGAGAAACUAUUGUGUAGGCUCGGAGGAAUUAUUAUGUGUGACCGUAGCGGGGUCUGAGGUCAUGUCGUGGCUGAUGGUUAACAAUGACUUGAAAAAAUGGGGUAGUCAAGCCUAAACUAUGGUGCACGCACAUUUAUAUGAAGAAACAACAAGGAACCAAUGCUUUAUCAAGAAAUAUGGCUAAUCAAUUAAGCUAAGUUGAAAAAUUGCUUCUUUUGCAAUGGCAGUGGCUCUUUCUGUAGAGAUGCUUUUGUUCUCCUCAUUGUUUUUGCUACCAAUUUCUGUGAUUUCCCAAAACAAUGGAAGAGUAGCAGUUGGGAGUUCUCUAACUGCAACUACAGGCAACUCCUCAUCAUGGCUUUCUCCAUCCGGUGAUUUCGCGUUUGGAUUUUCGCCCCAUGGAAACAAUCAUCUUUUCAUGCUUUCGAUAUGGUAUGCGAAAAUCCCAGACAAAACCGUAGUUUGGCAUGCAUAUAAGGAUAGCAACCCCGUAGUUGCACCUGGGGGAUCAAUUUUGAACUUGACUGCCAACAGUGGACUAGUUCUUAACAAUCCUCAGGGUGGAGAGAUAUGGAAAUCCGGAACAACCUCCGGGAUUGUUGCGAACGGGGUAAUGAAUGACACCGGAAACUUUGUCCUUCAAGGCGAAAACUCGGGGAGCUUGUGGGAGACCUUCAGCAAUCCUACAGACACCGUUUUGCCUGGGCAGACAAUUGAGAGAAAUGGGAAGCUUUCGUCUAGGCAAUCGGAGACUAACUACGCAAAAGGGCGGUUCCAGCUGCGCUUGCAAGAUGAUGGAAACCUUGUGCUCAACACCGUCAACUUGCCAACAGAUUUUGCCAACAACCCAUACUUCGACACGGCAACGACCACAGGAACUGUGCCAGGUAGUGAAGGUAAACGAUUGGUGUUCAACAGCUCAGGGUACAUGUUUGUUCUGAGAGAAAAUGGUGGAAGAUUCGAUCUUACAGGGCCACAGGGAGUCUCGGUGAGGGACAACUACAUAAGGGCAACUCUUGAUUUUGAUGGGAUUUUCACUUUAUAUUCUCACUCGAAAAACUUCACUGGAAAUGCAAGCUGGAGAAGUCCUCUGUGGUAUACGCCGGAUAAUAUUUGCCUAACACGGGGCGCUGGUGUUUGCGGUAACAACAGUAUCUGUAAGCUCAAACCAGAUAAUAGGCCAACCUGCGAAUGCCCAAAAGGGUUUUCUUUUCUUGAUCCGAAUGAUAUAUACCGAGGCUGCAAACCCGAUUUUAAACAAGGCUGUGAAGAAGAUGAACUGCAAGGUCCCAGAAAAGAUUUGUAUGAUGUCGAAGUGCUGACAAAUACUGAUUGGCCAAACUCAGAUUAUGUGCAGAUAAACUCUUCUACCGCCGACAAGUGCAACGAGUCCUGCUAUCAAGAUUGUUUGUGCGCUGUUGCUGUUUUCCGGUCUGAAACCUGCUGGAAAAAUAAGUUACCUCUCUCGAAUGGGAGAGUGGAUGUCAAUCUUAACUCACAGGUCUUCAUAAAAGUCCGAAAGGAUAAUGCCACUCGGCAGUCUCCUCCAAAGCCAAUUCCAGAUGAUAAAGAGAAGAGCCAGAAAUCUGUGAUACGCGUGGAAUCAGUAUUAUUAGGUACCUCUAUCUUAGUUAAUGUUGUCUUAAGUUCUGCUCUCUGUCUCGGUUUUUUCUUCAUUUUCUGGAAGAAACCUGAAAGACCUAGUACCGAUAUUGUUUUGGACUCGAAUUUGCGCUCUUUUAGCUAUGAAGAGCUACAAGAAGCUACAAAUGGAUUCAAGGAAGAAUUAGGAAAGGGUGCUUUUGGAGUGGUUUUCAAAGGGGUGAUGCAAAUUGGUUCUGGUGUCGAAGUGGCGGUGAAGAAGCUAAACUGCUUUACGGGCGAUACGGUGGAUGUCGAGAAGGAGUUUAAAACAGAAUUGACUGUAAUUGGUCACACGCAUCACAAGAAUCUGGUUCGUCUUUUUGGAUAUUGUGACGAGGGGCAACAGAGAUUACUAGUUUAUGAGUUCUUGAGCAAUGGCACAUUGGCAAGCUUUCUUUUUUCUGAUAUCAAAUCGAGUUGGAGACAGCGAAUUGAAAUCGCUGAUGGCGUUGCCAAGGGGCUUUUGUACUUGCAUGAAGAGUGCCGCACGCAGAUUAUCCAUUGUGACAUAAAGCCGCAGAACAUACUUCUCGAUGAUUAUUACACCCCUCUGAUCUCUGAUUUUGGAUUGGCAAAACUUUUGCUGAUGAAUCAGAGCCAGACUCUUACCGCCAUCCGAGGAACAAGAGGUUAUGUUGCACCUGAGUGGUUCAGGAGCUUGCCAAUCACCACCAAAGUUGAUGUAUACAGCUUUGGUGUUGUGUUGCUGGAGAUCAUUUGUUGUAGGAGAAGCGUUGACAAUGAAGGUAAUUGUGUAGAGAAAGCAAUUUUAACAUACUGGGUUUAUGAUUGCUACAUUGAAGGAGAACUAGAUGCUGUUGUAGAUCAUGAAGUCGAGGCCUUGGGUGAUCGAACGACACUGGAAAAGUUCGUGAUGGUUGCGCUUUGGUGUACUCAAGAAGAUCCAUCUCUGAGGCCUACUAUGAUGAAGGUUGUGCAGAUGCUUGAAGGAGUUGCCGAAGUGCCUGUUCCGCCAUGUCCAUCCCCAUAUACCAGAUAAGGUUGAACCGCUGUUGUAUUUAUUGUCACAGUAGUAGCUAGCUUGUUUCCUGCUUAUCAAUCUUUUUUUAGUUUAACAAUUUGUGGUUUUGUAAUUUGAUGAUUUUUACGAAAACAUUUCCGUUUGCUUAAUCUAUUGCUGCUGAUGAAGUUUGUGGUUUAUCUUGUACGGAUUGGAAUAAUCACCGCCCUUGCUACUCCCUAGUUUGUGGUUUAUCUUGUAAUGUGAUGAUUUGUUACGAAAACAUUUUCGUUUGCUUAAUCUAUUGCUGCUGAUGAAGUUUGUGGUUUAUCUUGUACGCAUUGGAAUUAUCGCUGCCCUCACUACUCCGUGUUCUUUGUAGAGAGGGUGGCGGCGAAUUAGGUUCCUUUUUAUCGGCAAAUACUUGUUCAGUAUAGUUUUCAUCCACGCUACAAACUUUAUUCACAUUGGAAAGAGUAGCAGACUCUCAAAUUCAAAAUGAAAACUGUUGCAGUCUCAUUACACGAAAUUGCAGCUGGAUAUUACUCCUAAUUCCUUCCGUUCAUCGUCCCCCUCAGACGGUUUUUUUAUAUCUUCACUGUGAUUUGGUUUUGUUGCUACCAGUUUGCUUCUACUCUACGUAAGCAGAUAAACCUUGCUUCAUUAAAAUCCUCCUAAAAAGAACAGAUGAAUUGCCCUUAUCUCAACACUGCUUCUAUAAAUUGCCCUUUGUACUAGGUUUUUAGAGACGGUCCAGCGGCCCACUACUAAUUACCAUCAAUACUGACCUUAACUUAACCACAUGUGCAAUUCAAUAGGUGUGGUUUUAUACAAAAUUAAGGCCUCAAAGCAAUUAGUAGUCCAACUUUUCUAUAUAGAGGAUUUAAACUUCAUCAAGUUUCCGAUGUGGCCAUGUGGGACAUGCUUCAACACAUUUAAUUAGUAUAAACAGAAAAUACACUUCUUUGUGUGUUUUGGAAAAAAGGCUGGUUUCUCCAUAAUCUAGACAUCUUGGAGUCCCAAGUACGAAUUCGUGCCAUCAGCUGCUUUGAAGUGGAAGAGUAUUUUUCCUGUUGGCGGAGUGACUUCCAUUGGAAGUCAGAACCGAGUUAUAGUGUCGAAGAAGAAGACUUGAAGGCUCUCCAGACUUUCCCAUAAAAGUAUGCAUCUAAGACCUGCCAAAACGUACUUUUCUGAAAUUUUCUAGGCCAAGAAAAACCUCUAAAACGUGCCUACCACCUGACUGAUGCGUUAUCUAGUCAAAGUAGGAUUUAUACAGUACUCUUUUUAUUUGGAUUUCCUUUUAUGUUUAAGGUUUUGUUUUGCAUGGGAUAGUUGUCUAAACCCUAAAACUGAAAUUUAAAUACGACCGGCAAAAGGACAUACAAGAGAGAAGUCGAGGAUGAGAGAGUAAUUGGGAGUUUUGGAAGAGUGCUGGUGGCUUACAUCUAAGCAAUAAAGGAUAUGUAUGAUGGAAUAAGGAAGUAAUAAGAACUCAUGAAUGAAAAAUUGAAAGCUUUCCUAUAAUCAUAGAGUUGCACCAAGGCUGAGCUUUAAGUUCUUACCUUUUUGCAUUAGUAAUGGAAGAGUUAACGAGAUAUAUUCAAGAUGAUAUAUCUUGGUGUAUGCUUUUAGCAGAUAAUAUAGUCCUAAUGGAUGAAAUGCAAGAAGGAGAAAAUGUGAAGCUUAACCUUUGGUGGGAUGUGUUGGAAUCUAUAGGUCUUCGCCUAAGUAGGUCAAAGAUAGAGUAUAUGGAGUGUAAGUUCGUGGGAAUGGGGGUUCAAAUGAGUAGGGGCGAGGAUUGGAGAUCAGAAAGUUCAAAGGGUGAGUGCUUUCAUUAUCUCGGAUCUAUCUUGCAAAAGAACGAAGAAUUGGAUGAAGAUCUCAACCACAGAAUACAAGCUGAAUUGAUGAAGUGGAAGAGUGCAUCGGGUGUGUCGUGUAAUGGUCGUAUGCCGCCAAAGCUCAAGGAAAAAUUUUAUAGGACAACAAUAAGGUCAACAAUGGUUUAGGGCACAAAAUGUUGGGUGGUCAAAAAAUAACACGUGCAAAAAAUAGUAUCUGAGAAUAUCCGAGGUAAAGUAGCAAUGGCAGCAAUUAAAGAUAAUAUGAGAGAAAAUCAGUUAAGGUGGUUUGGGCACGUAAACUGAGGACCUACACAUGCUCCGGUUCGAAGAUGCGAGUAUGAGAUAGAGGCUCGAGUCCAAAGGGGUAGAGAAAGACCUACGAAGACUUGGCAAUAGACUUUAAGAAAAUAUAUGGAAUACUUGGUGUUAACGGAAUACUUGAUGCAAAACAUUGAGCAUUCUAGGAUUCAUACAGCUGACCCUACUUAAUGGGAUAAGGGUUAGUUGUUGUUGUUGUGUGGAAGAGUGCGACAAAGUCAUCCAGUUUUUGUUAUUUUUCUCUUAUGCUUUUGCUUUAAGCAAUUUUUUCCUAAAACCAUUCAAAGCAUCAGUUAGCUCCUCAAAGAACAGCCUACCUACUAUUAGUAUUAUUUUUAGCCUUCCUUUGUAGGAUAUUCUCAAAAUGCAACAGCCAAAGAGAAAGCCAUGUCGUUGGGCAACUUUCAUAACCCGCCAUGAACCAAUUUAUUUAUGUUACAAUGGUGAUUUCCAAAUCAGGUUAGAUACAGAUCCCCUUAGGCCAUCUCCAAUGAUGGUUGGCUAGAGGGCUCAUUUUAGCGAUCUGGUCCUCCAAGAUAUUAAUAUUUUAAUGAACAGUCUAUGACCAUAUUUGCCUCCGUCUCCAACCGAGGGCCAUAGGGCUCAUUUUAGCCCUAUCACAAAAAACCGUCUUCAACCGAGGGCCAAAGGGCCAAACAUAAUUUAUUAUAUAAAUUUAAAAACUACAACAACUUAAAUUCAAAUCUAACAACAACUUAUAUUUAAAAACAACGAAUUAAAUUUAAAAACUACAAAUUAAAUUUAAGGGAAUGGUGAAUGAAUGGUUUAGGUAUUUAUAGGAAAAAAAAUUAGAAUUUUUAAGAAUUUAAAAAAAAAUGCCCAAAAAACCUAUAAAAAAAAUUCAAAUGCAACGGCUAGCUGACGUCAGCUAGCCGUUGCAUUUGAAUUUUUUUACGACGAUAUGUAUAAACGACUAGAUACCAAAGAAGGAGAGUUGGAUAUCUAUAAACUAUCUAGAGCAAGGGAAAAGAAGACAAGGGACCUAAACCAAGUGAGGUGCAUCAAGGAUGAGGAUGGAAAUGUUCUUGCUACAGAGAACGCGGUUAAAGACAGAUGGAGAGGUUAUUUUCAUAAUCUUUUCAAUGAAGGACAUGAAAUGAGUGCUUCUUUAGGGGAGUUGAGUAACUCAGAAGAGUGUAGAAACUACUCUUUUUAUCGUCGAAUCCGGAAGGAAGAAGUGGUUGUAGCUUUGAAGAAGAUGAAGCAUAAAAAAGCAAUAGGCCCAGACAAUAUACCAAUCGAAGUGUGGAAACUUUUGGGAGAACAGGUAUAACAUGGCUCACUGACCUUUUCAAUAGGAUUUUGAAAACGAAGAAGAUGCCAGAUGAGUGGCGAACGAGCACUUUGGUGCCUAUCUACAAGAAUAAGGGCGACAUACAAAAUUGCAUGAACUAUAGGGGUAUUAAGCUAAUGAGUCAUACAAUGAAGCUCUGGGAGAGAGUCAUUGAGCAUAGAUUGAGGCAAGAGACACGGGUUUCGGACAACCAAUUCGGGUUCAUGCCAAGGCGCUCAACCAUGGAGGCAAUCUAUCUCUUACGAAGAUUGAUGGAAAGAUAUAGAGAUGGGAAAAAGGAUUUACACAUGGUCUUUAUAGAUUUGGAAAAAGCGUAUGAUAGGGUCCCAAGAGACAUUCUUUGGAGGAUUUUUAGAGAAGAAAGGAGUACGAGUAGCAUAUAUCCAAGCUAUAAAGGAUAUGUAUGAAGGAGCAAAGACUGCCGUAAGAACUCAUGAAGGACAAACCGAAAGCUUUCCCAUAACUGUAGGAUUACAUCAAGGCUCAUCCUUAAGUCCUUACCUUUUUGCGUUGGUAAUGGAUGAGUUAACAGGACAUAUUCAAGAUGAUAUUCCUUGGUGUAUGCUUUUCGCAGACGAUAUAGUGUUGAUAGAUGAAACUCAGGAAGGGGUAAAUGCAAAGCUUAACCUUUGGAGAGAAGUGUUGGAAUCUAAAGGUCUUCGCCUAAGCCGAUCAAAGACAGAAUAUAUGGAGUGCAAGUUCAGUGCAAAUGGAGGCCAAAACGAGUUAGGGGUGAAGAUCGGAGAUCAAGAAAUACCAAAGAGCGACCGUUUUCGUUACCUAGGAUCUAUCUUGCAAAAGAACGGAGAAUUAGAUGGAGAUCUCAACCAUAGAAUACAAGCUGGAUGGAUGAAGUGGAAGAGUGCAUCCGGCGUGUUUGUGUGACCGCCGUAUGCCACUGAAGCUCAAGGGAAAAUUUUAUAGGACGGCAAUAAGGCCGGCGAUGCUGUAUGGCACAGAAUGUUGGGCGGUGAAACAUCAACACGUACACAAAAAUGGGUGUAGCGGAGAUGAGGAUGCUUCGUUGGAUGUGUGGGCACACGAGAAAGGAUAAGAUUAGGAAUGAGGAUAUCCGGGGUAAAGUAGGAGUAGCCGAAAUUGAAGGAAAGAUGAGAGAAAAUCGGUUACGGUGGUUUGGACAUGUGCAAAGAAGGGCCUACUGACGCUCCGAUUAGAAGAUGCGACUAUGGGACAGAGGUUCAGGGCCGAAGGGGUAGAAGAAGACCUAGGAAAACUUUGGAAGAGACUCUAAGAAAAGACUUAGAGUACUUGGAUCUAACGAAGGACAUGACACAGGAUCGAGCACAAUGGCGUUCUAAGAUUCAUAUAGCCGAUCCCACUCAGUGACUUGGAUUUUCCAAGUCUCCAACCGAUAAGUUUUCCUCACUCGGGAAAUUAAGGGAACACUACCCCAACCUACAUGCUCCACUCAGAAAGCUUCAACAUACAAGCUUCAACAAAAGAAAAUUCAAAAGAACUUAGCGAAGAAGGCUUUGGUGUAUUUAACACAAUACGUUGAAAUGAAGGAAAGCUUAUUUAUUGAUAUCCCCGAUAAGCUACAAAUAUGUACAUAUGCAUGAGUCAAAAUAAACACACAAGAGGGAGCCUUCACAAAGGUUGUUUAGGAGAAGUCUCAGCAGUCGGUAGAGCCCCAGAAAGAGAAGGCACCGGAGGGGGAUCAUUUGGAGCCUCAGUACUGGACAGAACCUAGAAGGAGGAGGCAUCAGAGGUUGAUCAUUCGGAGCUUCAUUAUGCGGUACAGCCCCAGAAGACGAAGGCAAUAAAUGCCUUUGGAACAAACCCACAAAUCUCUGAUGAUCAAGUAAAACCUGACCAUCAGUUUCCUUCAUCUGGUCAAGCUUCCUCUUCAUGUUUGUAGCAUAGUCAUGUGCGAGCCGGUGCAACUGUUUAUUCUCAUGCUUGAGCCCCCUAAUCUCCUGUUUAAGACUCAUCACUUCAGCCGCCAAUGAAUCAACUUGGCGGGUUCGAGCAAAUAGGCGUUGGGCCAUAUUAGACACAGAACCUGCACACUGAACACUGAGAGCCAGCGAAUCCUUAACAGCUAACUCAUCAGACCGUUUGGAAAGUAGUUUGUUAUCUUUGGGAGUGAGAAGGUUCCUGGCCACCACCGCAGCGGUCAUAUCAUUCUUCAUCACGGAAUCCCCAACGGUAAGAGGACCAGUAAGGGAGACGAAGGAUGGGCGCCAUAUGUUGUCUGGAGAAGGCGGGGCUGCCUCUUCAACAAGGUUCAAGUCAAAACGACGGUCAGAAGGGCCAGACAUUUUCAAAGGUGUUGAAGAGAGAAGAGGUCGGACAAAUCAAGAUCUUCGAAGUGCAAGAAUGAAGCUUCUACUGGUGGAGAUUCAAGUGUGCUUUGGAACUUAAUGCCAGCCCCUAUAAAAAUCUGCAUUCGACGGAGCUUCAGAAAUCGAAGAGGCGCCUGCUCAGAAAUCGAAGAGGCGUUUGCUUUCUCAAAAGUUGGGCUGCUUAGAGAUCACGAGGGUUGAUCUCAGAAAUCGAAGAGGCGUUUGCUCUCUCAAAAGUUGGGCUGCUCAAAGACCACGAAGGCCGAUCUCAGAAAUCGAAGAGGCGCUCGCUUUCUCAAAAGCUGGGCUCCCCAGAGACCACGAGGGCCGAUCUCAGAAAUCGAAGAGGCACCUACUUUUCCAGCCUUGUCAGCACCUGUCACACGCACAUUCAGCUUUGCGGAAAUUAUGGGCAUUCUGUCGAAGACUUCUGAGGAAGUAGAAAACACAUGAAUCUUACUGUUCAAUCACCCACUUCCCACACGCAACAAUAGCUCACGGGUACCACAAAUAACUUUGCCAAAGUUCUCUGCCAAAGUUGAGCACGUGAAGCUUGCAGCUCCCACUACAUCGCUCUGACCAAGAAGGGUAAAAGAAUAGCAAAGAAACAACACUAACAAAGUUUAGACCCAUAAAUUUUGAAGGUCUAGCUACCAUAUUAUUACCCACAAGGGUAAAGGAACAGUACCACUGCUGGAUAAUUGGAAAGUCCCUGUGUGUCAACCUCUGUGCUUCGUGGCAAGGUAGACUAGCAAACAUGCCCAACCUUUACUCACAUUCGAGAAAACACUCCCAAUAAGAUUGCUUGCUCCAAAAUCGAAGAGGCACCGUCCUCCAAAUCUCGAGAGCCAGACUCCCAACAUGACUAAUUUCUUAAAAAUCGAAGAGAGGGUAAAGGAACAGUACCAUUGCUGGAUAAUUGGAAAGUCCCUGUGUGUCAACCUCUGUGCUUCGUGGCAAGGUAGACUAGCAAACAUGCCCAACCUUUACUCACAUUUGAGAAAAACACUCCCAACAAGAUUGCUUGCUCCAAAAUCGAAGAGGCACCGCCCUCCGAAUCUCGAGAGCCAGACUCCCAACAUGAUUACUUUCUCAAAAAUCGAAGAGACACUGCUUCCCGAAUCUUCGAGAGCCAGACCCCCAGCAUGAUUGCUUUCUCAAAAAUCGAUGAGGCAUCGUUCUCCGAAUCAAUCGAAGAGGCGCUCGCUUUCUCAAAAGCUGGGCUGCUCAGAGACCACGAGAGGGCCGAUCUCAGAAAUCGAAGAGGCACCUACUUUUCUAGCCUUGUCAGCACCUGUCACACGCAACAAUAGCUCAUGGGUACCACAGAUAACUUUUGCCAAAGUUCUCUGCCAAAGUUGAGCACGUGAAGCUUGCAGCUCCCACUACAUCGUUCUGACCAAGAAAGGUAAAAGAAUAGCAAAGAAACAGCACUAACAAAGUUUAGACACAUAAAUUUUGAAGGUCUAGCUACCAUAUUAUUACCCAUAAGGGUAAAUGAACAGUACCACUGCUGGAUAAUUGGAAAGUCCCUGUGUGUCAACCUCUGUGCUUCGUGGCAAGGUAGACUAGCAAACAUGCCCAACCUUUACUCACAUUCGAGAAAACACUCCCAAUAAGAUUGCUUGCUCCAAAAUCGAAGAGGCACCGUCCUCCGAAUCUCGAGAGCCAGACUCCCAACAUGACUACUUUCUCAAAAGCGAAGAGAGGGUAAAGGAACAGUACCAUUGCUGGAUAAUUGGAAAGUCCCUGUGUGUCAACCUUUGUGCUUCGUGGCAAGGUAGAUUAGCAAACAUGCCCAACCUUUACUCACAUUCGAGACAACACUCCCAACAGGAUUGCUUGCUCCAAAAUCGAAGAGGCACCGCCCUCCGAAUCUCAAGAGCCAGACUCCCAACAUGAUUACUUCCUCAAAAAUCGAAGAGACACUGCUCUCCGAAUUUCGAGAGCCAGACCCCCAGCAUGAUUGCUUUCUCAAAAAUCGAUGAGGCAUCGUUUUCCGAAUCUCGAGAGCCAGUUACCACAGACCACUUUUUCAAAAUGCUCUGACAGAGUUAAAACAUGUGAAACUGGCAGCUCCCACUACCGUGCUAUGACCAAGCAGGGUAAAGGAAUAGCAUUACUACUUGUUGUUAGGGAGACUCCUAUAUAUGUCGACCUCCAUCCCCAACGGACAGGCAGACCUGCAAAAAUGCUCAACCCUUCAUCAUAUCUGAGAGGGCACUCCCAACGAAGCCUUUUGAAAUAUUCAGCUUUCUUUCCCCCCGAUAAUACCUCUGCAAACAAGCUAUACUAGAGCAAGAAUAUCUCAUAUCAUCAGGGUUAAAAGCAAGAGUAUCCCAUAUCAUGCUUUUUCCCUGUCUUUUCCUUUGGCCUUGUUUUACCUGCAAGACAAGGAGAAAGAGAGCAAUCAGUCAGCACUUGGAAUCAAGCUUCCAGCCAGGAACUGACUGCCUGGAACCCCUUACCUGAUUACUUACCUGGCAUUGCUCUCGAGUACUCAUCUUCAACAUGUUAUGUUUCCAGGGAAGAUUCCGCAUCUGCUUGAGGAACAAAUAGGGCAAGUGCGAAGGAUACAAGGAAGCAUGUGGAGACAAGCGUAACAGCACACGUGCCGAUACAUCCAUUACUCUGUCAAAAAGCAAAAGUAUCCCAUAUCAGCAGGGUGGAACGUACUCUAGAUUUGAUGGACUUGUUUUGACCCUCAAAUUCUUCAGUCGGCCUUAUACUCUGGAGGAAACCAGAAAACCCUCCAGCUCAGUUCAAGAAUAAGCCUGUGGAAAGUUACUUCUUCAAAAGCAAAAGUAUCUCAUAUCAUCUCUUCUCAUUUUUCUUCUCUUUAUCCUUCAUGCUGCUGCAAGAUGGGGAGAAGGUGAACAAUCAGUCGGAGCUCUGAUUGCUUACCUUGUCUGUCACCUCUUUCAGCAGAACCCCUAGCUCGGCGACUUGGGGGACUCCUACUACAUGGUUUGUAUCGCGCUUGACCAAGCCUGAAACUACAAGUAAGCUUCAAGUGAAAUUGAUACAUUACCUUGUGCAUCUCCACCAGUUAAAGAUACCACCCCUGGAUGGAGGAAGAGUACUUCCAGAGAAGAUGCCACAUCUACCUAUGAGACAGAUAAGGCAAGUCAAGACGACACCACACUCCGAUACUUAGAAGUUUCGUGAUUACGAGAUCAUUCUCCCACAAUAUUUCCUAAUGUCAUUUGUACUAAAUCAUUCACUUGUACUCACUAAAGGAGAGCUUGAACCUAUGUACUUGUGUAAACCCUUCACAAUUAAUGAGAACUCUUCUAUUCCGUGGACGUAGCCAAUCUGGGUGAACCACGUACAUCUUGUGUUUGCUUUCCUAUCUCUGUCUCUAUCCAUUUAUAUACUUAUCCACACUAAUGACCGGAGCAAUCUAGCGAAGAUCACAAAAAGCGACCGUUUUCGCUACCUAGGAUCUAUCUUGCAAGAGAACGGAGAAUUAGAUGGAGAUCUCAACCAUAGAAUACGAGCUGGAUGGAUGAAGUGUAAGAGUGCAUCCGGCGUGUUGUGUGACCGUCGUAGGCCACUGAAGCUCAAGAGAAAAUUUUAUAGGACGGCAAUAAGGCCAGCGAUGUUUUAUGGCACAGAAUGUUGGGCGGUGAAGCAUCAACACGUACACAAAAUGGGUGUAGCGGAGAUGAGGAUGCUUCGUGGGAUGUGUGGGCACACGAGAAAGGAUAAGAUUGGGAAUGAGGAUAUCCGAGGUAAAGUAGGAGUAGCCGAAAUUGUAGGAAAGAUGAGAGAAAAUCGGCUCCGGUGAUUUGGACAUGUGCAAAGAAGGCCGACUGACGCUCCGGUUCGAAGAUGUGACUACGGGACAGAGGUUCAGGGCCGAAGGGGUAGAGGAAGACCUAGGAAAACUUUGGAAGAGACUCUAAGAAAAGAUUUAGAGUACUUGGAUCUAACGGAGGACAUGACACAAAACCGAGCGCAAUGGCGUUCUAGGAUUCAUAUAGCCGACCCCACUUAGUGGGAAAAGGCUUUGUUGUUGUUGUUGUUGUUAUUCAUGUCGGUUAUAACCGACAGGAAAGAUGAUUUUUCUGGCCAGCCUAGGGCUGGCUGGCUAGCUAGAAGUGGCCAGCCCUCUAGCCUUUGGCCCUUUCUGAUUCAGUGGGGCCCUCUGGCCUAGCCCUCGGUUGGAGAUGGUUUUAAGGCUAUUUUUGGCCCUCUGACCCUUUGGACCCUUCGGUUGGAGACGGCCUUAGCUCCCAAAGUAGAAAAGAAGCAUGGAAACAAAUGUCGCAUAUGAUAUCUUAUUCAAUGGAUAAACUUAAUUUGUCAAGAAUACACAUUUUAUUGAUAUUUAAGUAGCUGUUUCCCAACGUAUUGUUUCUGUUCUAAUAACCUGUGCAGAUUGCUUUGUUGGUAUAAGAAACUGUAUCUGUUAUGUAAAAGAAUUGUGCUCGUUGGUUUGAGCGUAUUCCAUUUGAUGUUGUUUUAUAGUGAUUACAAGAAGUAUUUGGAUGAAGAACAAACUCUUCAAACCAAAUUUACAGAUAAUACAAAUGAUAAAUAACCUAUUUUAUAUUCAAAAUACUUUCAACAGAUAAGGCUUAUCUCAGCCUUCCUUUUGACUAAUCUGAUUGCGAUCUUCAGUAAGUGUUGUGGCGGGAACCUUUGAAUUCGGACUUGGUUUAUCACACCCCCGCAAGCUGAGCGGUCGUCGGCGAACGGGAAGCUUGGAUAAAAGAUAGUUGAAACGAUGAGUAGACAGACCUUUAGUCAAAAAAUCAGCAACAUGAUCUUGAGUAGCUACAUAGCCCACCUGAAGUUCACCACGAGUAACCUUCUCACGAAUAUAAUGAUAGUCAACUUCCAUGUGACGGGUUCGUGCAUGAAAAACAGGGUUAGAGGCAAGGGAGAUUGCAGAAAUAUUAUCACACCACACCUUUGGAGGAGACAGAUGAAGAUGCAGGUCUUUAAAGAGUUGACGAAACCAUGAAAGAGUAGCUGCAGUUAUGGCAAGUUGUCUAUAUUCUGAUUCUGUGCUAGAGCGAGACACUCCUUUUUAAUUCUUAGAACUCCAGGACACAAGGUUUGGACCAAGAAAUAUAUAAGACCCGCCAGUGGAUUUGCGAUCAUCGAGGUCUCCUGCAUAAUCAGAGUCGGCAAAGGCAGUGAGGGUGAGAGGUCCAGAUUUGUACACAAGGCCAUGAUCGGGAGUGGACUUCAAAUAGCGAAAGAUGCGUUUAACAGCAAUCUAGUGUGUGGUGGUUGGUUGAUGCAUGAACUGGCAAACUUGGUUGAUAGAGAAGGCAAUAUCAGGGCGGGUGAAAGUAAGAUAUUGGAGUGCACUUACCACACUCCUAAACUCGGUGAUGUCUUGUAAGGGUUCGCCAUCAUAUAAGCUGAGGCGUUUGCCACUGACUGCAGGAGUAGAGACCGGUUUACAGUCCACCAUGUUUGUACGUUGAGCAAAUCAGAAAUAUAUUUAGACUAUGAGAGAUGAAGGCCAUGACUGGAGCGAUGAACCUCCAUACCCAAAAAAUAAGUGAGAGGACCAAGAUCUUUCAUUGAAAAAACCGAGCCCAUGUCCUUGAUCAAGGAGUUGAUACACUGAAUGUUGUUGCCUGUGAUAAGUAUGUCAUCGACAUAGACUAAUAAGUAAAUACGAAUUAAACCAUGACAAUACACAAAGAGAGAUGAGUCUGCUUGGGAGGCCACAAAACCAAGGUGUUCCAGAUGAUUAGAAAAACAUUGGAACCAUGCCCUAGGGGCCUGUUUAAGUCCAUACAACGAUCUACGCAAUUUACAGACAUGUGUGGGAUAUUAAGGAUCAACAAAACCAGUGAGUUGUUUCAUGUAAACUUCAUCAGAUAUGGAACCAUGUAAAAACGCAUUCUGAACAUCCAGUUGGCGUAUAGGCCAUGAAAAAUGAACAGCCAUAGCAAUAAUAAGACGAAUGGUUGAGUGGGUCACCACUGGACUAAAAGUUUCACCAUAAUCAAGACCUGGUUGUUGAUGAAAACCAUUAGCCACAAGACGAGCCUUAAACCGAUCAAUAGACCCAUCAAACUUGCGUUUAAUACGAAAGACCCAUUUAUUUGGUAGUACAUUCAUGGUAGGAGUAUAGGGUACCAAAGACCAUGUGCCCGUACGUUGUAGGGCAUUGAAUUCAUUAGCCAUAGCUGUCCUCCAUUCCUGAAAUUUAUUAGCUUGAUUGUAGCAUGUAGGUUCAGACAUAGCAGUGAUGGUGGAAGUAUGGGCAUACUUAGGGUUAGGUUUAGAAAUGCCAUCUUUUGCACGUGUAACCAUAGGAUGGAUAGUGGGGGGUGCUAGAGCGGAUGGGGUUGUCGAAAGGGGAGGGGGGAGUGGGGUAGGUGGAAGUGACGUUAAAGGUAAUUGAUUGUUUACUGGAGGUGUGGAAAUGGGGGGGGGGAUAGUAGGGUAGGGUGGGAGGAGGGUAAAGGUGAGUGGAUGGGAGAGGAAAUAGGAGUCAAAGGGUGUGUGAUAAAGACGGGUGAGGGAAUGUGAGUUUCUGAAAGAGUGUUGGAAUGGGUAAUGGAAGUAUGGGAUAAAGUAGGAUUAUGUGGCGAAUUUGGGGGGGAUGGAAAAGUGAGUUCAGGGUUCCCAAGAGUAAUGGGAUGGUUAUCAUGCAGAGAGGAUGGUACGGGAGUAACACUGAGAUUUGCAUGAAAUGGAAAACAAUUUUCAUAAAAAAGAACAUGUUUAGACAUGAAGACACGACCGGUGCAUAGGUCAAGGCACCUAUACCCUAAUUGAUUUUGAGAAUAACCUAAGAAAACACACUUUUUGGAACGAAAAUGCAAUUUUGUUGACAUGUAUGGACGUAGGUAUGGAAAACAAGCACACCCAAAAACUUUAAAAAAAUCAUAGGAUGGUUCUCGAUGAAAUAAUUUUGUGUAUGGAGAAGAUAAGUUCAAAACUUUAGUUGGCAGACGAUUUAUUAAAAAAUUAGCAGUAUGUAGAGCUUCAGCCCAAUAGGUUUGUGGCAUGGACGUAUGAGCAAGAAGAGUGAGACCAGUUUCAACCAAAUGACGAUGUUUACGUUCUACCAUACCGUUUUGUUCAGGAUGGUGAGGGCAUGUAUAUUGAUGAUGAAUGCCAUGUUUUUCUAAAUAAGAUUUAAAAUUGUUGUUAAUAUAUUCUCUUCCACCAUCCGUUUGAAAAGUUUGGAUUUUUCGUUGAAAUUUAUUCUCCAUUUCAGUUUUAAAUUUAAUGAAUGUGGAGAACACAUCAGAUUUUAGUUUUAAAGGAUAUAGCCAUGUAUAUCGCGAAAAAUCAUCAAUGAAAAUCACAUAAUAUCGAAAACCAGAAAUUGACAAAGUAGGGGACAUCCAUACAUCAGAAUGAAUAAGUUGUAAAGGAAAAUGGGAAAUAGAAUUUGAUGGUAAAAAUGGCAAUUUCUUGCUUUUGCCCAAAGGGCAUGAAUGACAGACAGAAUUAAAAUGGUGCCUAGUAAGAGGCACUUUGCACGAUACACGCUUUUCAGUUUCGUAGUGUUAAAAUUUGGACUUGAAUUUGAUACUAUGAUUCUAUGAACCUGUGUUCAAUCUCGACUGACCUCCACAUGACUUGGAGCUUACUCUACCUUUAUCUCAUCUCCACCACCUCUGUAGUAUCGACCGAAUAUGGAUCGAGCUGAGGUGGGCUUUACACACACCAGGGUCCAGAUUCAUUAACUAAUGAGCCCAUAAGUCCAUUUGGUCGCAGUAGGCAAUAUCCAAGCGCUUAUCUGUCGGGUCCAUCUUAUGCUAAUGAAAUGGCUGGCCUGACCUGGAAUCCAACCUGGUACAAAAUGGCUGACCUGAUCUGAUGAGAUGAACCACACCUCAACGGGCUUCAAAAGGUCGUCGAACCACACCUCAGAUCCUAUCUGAAUCUCGCAGUCCAAAAUUCACAAACCAAGAUAUUCAAACUGUUCAAGAGAGGGGAGAGAGAAUUCGGACCCCAUGUGUGAUGUGGGCCAAUAGGAUAGGCUAAUGGAUGCCGUAUGAUUUAAAAUGAAUGGUCCGGAUCUCUGCGUCCGUUUGUGCCAGAUUGUGACAUUCGGAGAGGAUCUCGAUUGCUUAACCCGUGAUUAUCUCAACUCGGCCUCAAGUGUUUUACCCCAAUGACGUAUAUAAUACAUUAAAAAACUUCAGUUAGUACUUAGUUUUUUGUGAAUACAUAAAUGGAGACUUAGUCGUCUUUGUCUUUGUGAAGAUAUUUUUGCAUUUUUCAUAAGUCUCUUAUCACUUGAAGACUUUGUUUGGUCAUGGAGGUCUGUUUUCAGAUUUGACACCACCUGUAUCCGUCCUCAAUCAGCAUUUUCUUUGUGAGCCCCAUUAUUGAUUUUGACUGGUGGACUUGAAUGGCCGGCAGAUGCGUGAGUCAUGCUCGUAUUUACUAGUCUUUUUGGUUUGGAACAUUCAUAUAUAUUAUAUAUUAUAUAUUGAAACCUAGAAUCUCCAGUGUAGUGAUAAAUAUUCUUAAUUAUUUAAGUUAGUCAUUUGCUGGUUUGGAACAUUUAUAAGUGCUUAAGUAGAAUCAUAAAACGGACUAGGGACGAGAGUAAGAUGAAAAGAGAUUUGAGAGAGACAAGUCAACGGGUUAUUACUAAUUAAAUCAAUAUUGCUCUAACUUGCAACAUUACAAAGAGUUGAGGAAGACAAUAAGUUCUAUCACAGAAAGUUUCGUUGUUAUUAUGUAUAAAACUAUUCUUUAUAUUAUUUUUUUUCAAAGUGAAAUUCUUGUACUUUUACCAAUGAUUCAAUGUGUAAUUUGAUCCCGAUAUGUGUAGGUUCGGAGAAAUUGUUGUGUAGGCCCGGAGAAAUUUUUGUGUGUGAUCGUAGCAAGGUCUGAGGUCCCGUCGUGGCUGAUGGGUAACACGGACUUCAAAAAAUGGGGUAGACGCCUUUAAUUCCAGAAAACAACAUAGAAAAUGACAGGCAUGGAGAUUAGUCAAGUCUAAACUAUGGUGCACGCAUAUUUACUUGAAGAGAUAACAGGGAACCAAUGCUUUAUUAAGAAAAAUAUAGCUAAUCAAUAAAGCUAAGUUGAAAAAUUGGUGCUUUUGCAAUGGCAGUGGCUCUUUCUGUACGGAUGCUUUUGUUCUUCUCACUGUUUUUGCUACCAGUUUCUGUGUUUUCCCAAAAUAAUGGAAGAGUAGCAGUUGGGAGUUCUCUGACUGCAAGUACAGGCGACUCCUCAUCAUGGCUUUCUCCAUCCGGCGAUUUCGCGUUUGGAUUUUCGCCCCUCGGAAACAAUGAUUUUUUCUUGCUUUCGAUAUGGUAUGCGAAAAUCCCAGACGAAACCGUAGUUUGGUAUGCAUAUGACGGUAACAACCCCAUCGUUGCACCUAGGGGAUCAGUUCUGACCUUGACUGCCAACGGUGGACUAGUUCUUAACAAUCCUCAGGGUGGAGAGAUAUGGAAAUCCGAAACAACUUUCGGGAUUGUUGAGAACGGGGUCAUGAAUGACACCGGAAACUUUGUCCUUCAAGACAAAAACUCAGAGAGCUUGUGGGAGACCUUCAGCAAUCCCACAGACACCGUUUUGCCUGGACAGACAAUUGAGAAAAGUGGGAAGCUUUCGUGUAGACAAUCGGAGACUAACUACACAAAGGGGCGGUUCCAGCUGCGCUUGCAAGAUGAUGGAAACCUCGUGCUCAACACCGUCAACUUGCCAACAGAUUUUGCCAACAACCCUUACUUCGCCACGGACACGAUCGCAGGGACUGUGGAAGGUAGUCAAGGUAAACAAUUCGUGUUCAACAGCUCAGGGUACAUGUUUGUUCUGAGAGAAAAUGGUGGAAGAUUCACUCUUACAGGGCCACAGGGAGUCUCGACGAGAGACAACUACAUAAGGGCAACUCUUGAUUUUGAUGGGAUUUUCACUUUAUAUUCUCACCCGAAAAACUUCACUGGAAAUCCAAGCUGGAGUAGUCCUCUGUGGUAUACACCGGAUGAUAUUUGCCAAAAACUUCUUGAAGACGAGGGCGUUGGUGUUUGUGGUUACAACAGUGUCUGUAAGCUCAAACCAGAUAGUAAUAGGCCAACCUGCGAAUGCCCAAAAGGGUUUUCUUUUCUUGAUCCGAAGGAUAUAUACCGAGGCUGCAAACCCGAUUUUAUACAAGGCUGUGAAGAAGAUGAGCUGCAAGGUCCCAGAAACGAUUUGUAUGAUGUCCAAGUGCUGACAAAUACUGAUUGGCCAACCUCAGAUUAUGUGCAGCUAAAGCCUUCUACGGCGGACAAGUGCAACGAGUCUUGCUUUCAAGACUGUUUGUGCGCUGUUGCUGUGUUCCGGUCUGAAACCUGCUGGAAAAAGAAGUUACCUCUCUCAAACGGGAGAGUGGAUGUCAGUCUUAAUUCACAGACCUUCAUAAAAGUCCGAAAGGAUAAUGUAACUCUGCCGUUUCCUCCAAAGCCAAUUCCAGAUGAUAAAGAGAAGAGCCGGAAAUCUGUGAUACGCGUAGAAUCAGUACUAUUAGGUACCUCUAUCUUUGUUAAUUUUGUCUUAAGUUCUGCUCUUUGUUUCGGUAUUUUCUUCAUUUUCCGGAAGAAACCUGUAACAUCUAGUACCGAUAUUGUUUUGGACUCGAAUUUGCGCUCUUUUUGCUAUGAAGAGCUGCGAGAAGCUACAAAUGGUUUCACGGAAGAAUUAGGAAAGGGUGCUUUUGGAGUGGUUUUCAAAGGGGUGAUGCAAAUUGGUUCUGGUGUCGAAGUGGCGGUGAAGAAGCUAAACUAUGUUAUGCAAGAUGUCGAGAAGGAGUUUAAAACAGAACUGAAAGUAAUUGGUCAGACACAUCACAAGAAUCUGGUUCGUCUUUUUGGAUAUUGUGACGAGGGGCAACAGAGAUUACUAGUUUAUGAGUUCUUGAGAAAUGGCACAUUGGCAAGCUUUCUUUUUUCUGAUAUCAAACCAAGUUGGAGACAGCGAAUUGACAUCGCUUAUGGCGUUGCACAGGGGCUUCUGUACUUGCAUGAAGAGUGCAGCACGCAGAUUAUCCAUUGUGACAUAAAGCCGCAGAACAUACUUCUCGAUGAUUAUUACACUGCUCGGAUCUCUGAUUUUGGUUUGGCAAAACUUAUGCUGAUGAAUCAGAGCCAGACUCAUACCGCCAUCCGAGGAACAAAAGGUUAUGUUGCACCUGAGUGGUUCAGGAACUUGCCGAUCACUACCAAAGUUGAUGUGUACAGCUUUGGUGUUGUGCUGCUAGAAAUCGUUUGUUGUAGGAGAAGCGUUGACAUGGAAGGUAACUGUGAAGAGAGCGCAAUUUUAACGUAUUGGGUUUAUGAUUGCUACGUUGAAGGAGGACUAGAUGCUGUUGUAGAUUAUGAAGUUGAGGCCUUGGGUGAUCGAACGACACUGGAAAAGUUUGUGAUGGUUGCGAUUUGGUGUAUUCAGGAAGAUCCAUCUCUUAGGCCUACUAUGAGGAAGGUUGUGCAGAUGCUUGAAGGAGUUGUCGAAGUGCCUGUUCCACCAUGUCCAUCCCCAUAUACCAGAUAAG
RNAcentral lists this long non-coding RNA (29061 nucleotides) under Malus domestica (apple). RNAcentral's name for it is "long non-coding RNA (MDOM_LNC009861)". The record is from RNAcentral. Lineage: Eukaryota; Viridiplantae; Streptophyta; Magnoliopsida; Rosales; Rosaceae.